GAAUAGCUCAGUCGGUAGAGCAUUUGACUCUUAAUCUCAAGGUUGUGGGUUCAAGCCCCACAUUGGGCA
Molecule: non-coding RNA, 69 nt
Organism: Podarcis lilfordi (Lilford's wall lizard)
Lineage: Eukaryota; Metazoa; Chordata; Lepidosauria; Squamata; Lacertidae
Source: the annotation of a GenBank genome assembly